Oryctolagus cuniculus (rabbit) is the source of this 500-nucleotide non-coding RNA. The record is from RefSeq and is a predicted model, not a curated record. Lineage: Eukaryota; Metazoa; Chordata; Mammalia; Lagomorpha; Leporidae.
GGCCCCCAUCAAGAGUACCAGGUGAGUACUGUGCAACACUAAGGGCCCCCAUCAAGAGUACUAGGUGAGUACUGUGCAACACUAAGGGCCCUCAUCAAGAGUACCAGGUGAGUACUGUGCAACACUAAGGGCCCCCAUCAAGAGUACUAGGUGAGUACUGUGCAACACUAAGGGCCCUCAUCAAGAGUACCAGGUGAGUACCGUGUGACACUAAGGCCCCCAUCAAGAGUACCAGGUGAGUACUGUGCAACACUAAGGGCCCCCAUCAAGAGUACUAGGUGAGUACCGUGCAACACUAAGGGCCCUCAUCAAGAGUACCAGGUGAGUACUGUGCAACACUAAGGGCCCCCAUCAAGAGUACUAGGUGAGUACUGUGCAACACUAAGGGCCCCCAUCAAGAGUACUAGGUGAGUACUGUGCAACACUAAGGGCCCCCAUCAAGAGUACCAGGUGAGUACCGUGCAACACUAAGGGCCCCCAUCAAGAGUACUAGGUGAGUA